GAUGAACGCUGGCGGCGUGCCUAAUACAUGCAAGUCGAGCGAACAGACGAGGAGCUUGCUCCUCUGACGUUAGCGGCGGACGGGUGAGUAACACGUGGAUAACCUACUUAUAAGACUGGGAUAACUUCGGGAAACCGGAGCUAAUACCGGAUAAUAUAUUGAACCGCAUGGUUCAAUAGUGAAAGACGGUUUUGCUGUCACUUAUAGAUGGAUCCGCGCCGCAUUAGCUAGUUGGUAAGGUAACGGCUUACCAAGGCAACGAUGCGUAGCCGACCUGAGAGGGUGAUCGGCCACACUGGAACUGAGACACGGUCCAGACUCCUACGGGAGGCAGCAGUAGGGAAUCUUCCGCAAAGGGCGAAAGCCUGACGGAGCAACGCCGCGUGAGUGAUGAAGGUCUUCGGAUCGUAAAACUCUGUUAUUAGGGAAGAACAAAUGUGUAAGUAACUAUGCACGUCUUGACGGUACCUAAUCAGAAAGCCACGGCUAACUACGUG
RNAcentral lists this ribosomal RNA (497 nucleotides) under uncultured bacterium. Its description in RNAcentral is "partial 16S ribosomal RNA". It matches the Rfam family "Bacterial small subunit ribosomal RNA", at positions 28 to 507 of the family's 1533-position model. The record is from RNAcentral.